Molecule: ribosomal RNA, 253 nt
Filed under: uncultured bacterium
Lineage: Bacteria
Description: partial 16S ribosomal RNA
Rfam family: Bacterial small subunit ribosomal RNA
Source: RNAcentral
UACGUAGGGGGCAAGCGUUGUCCGGAAUCAUUGGGCGUAAAGAGCGUGUAGGCGGCCCGAUUAGUCCGCUGUGAAAGUCCAGGGCUCAACCCUGGAAUGCCGGUGGAAACUGUCGGGCUAGAGUCCGGAAGGGGCGAGUGGAAUUCCUGGUGUAGCGGUGAAAUGCGCAGAUAUCAGGAGGAACACCAAUGGCGAAGGCAGCUCGCUGGGACGUGACUGACGCUGAGACGCGAAAGCGUGGGGAGCAAACAGG